UACGGAGGGUGCAAGCGUUAUCCGGAUUUACUGGGUUUAAAGGGUGUGUAGGCGGGCUAUUAAGUCAGAGGUGAAAUCCCCGAGCUUAACUUGGGAACUGCCUUUGAUACUAUUAGUCUUGAAUGUCGUAAAGGUAGGCGGAAUACAUCAUGUAGCGGUGAAAUGCUUAGAUAUGAUGUGGAACACCGAUAGCGAAGGCAGCUUGCUGUGCGACGAUUGACGCUGAGGCACGAAAGCGUGGGUAGCGAACAGG
This 253-nucleotide ribosomal RNA is filed under the name uncultured bacterium. Its description in RNAcentral is "partial 16S ribosomal RNA". It matches the Rfam family "Bacterial small subunit ribosomal RNA", at positions 524 to 776 of the family's 1533-position model. The record is from RNAcentral.